CUUGACCAUGUCUGAUCACCACAUGGUUUUUGGGGGAAGCCCUUUGGAAAAGUGCAGUAAUAAAAAUUCCCAAGGAAAAAGCUCUGACGACAAUUAACCAAUAAGACAUUUUCUCUAGUAUUAAAUAUAAAAACUCUGGAACGAGUGAAUUUUGUAUUUCGGAAAAAACCCAAAAUUCAACAUCUCUGUUCAUGGAAAGAGAGAAACCAUGAUGCCGAUGCUUUGGUUUUGGAGACUUGGAGAUCGUUUGUUAGUUCGGCGACUGCUCUCGAAGUGUGAACACAUCUUAGUAAAAUAUAAUUCAAUUGCUCUUACUUGACCGUCUAUUCAUUUAUUAACCUGGCUUCCAAUUAAACUCUAAUACAGAGCAACAACAAAACACAGAAACAAGUGACAAAAUCCAUGCCCUCUUGACAGAAAGUGCGGACCAUGACGAAAGUCGCAGUUUUGAUCUGCAUGAAGACGGGCUGUUGCAUGGGAAUUCUCCAAGACCCUGAAGAAAAUGGAACCUUAAAAUUUUAAACGGAGUAAAACGAAUCACCGCGGCUGUAUGGGGUUAAGGGGUUAUUCUCAUCUCAUAGUCGCCGACGUGUCGUAAGCGAUUGUCUACCAGGCUUUCAACUUUAAACGCGUUUUUCUCGAAUCAUCAUUUUCUGAAACGGUCAAAGUCCUACAAGAAAAAACAACAUGAACAGCCGCUAUCACCUUGACCAGUGAACUACCUUUUUUUGUUGGGGACUACUUUGACUUAAAAAAAAUAUAUGUUAAAAAUGUAAAAAAACGAAAAAAAAAUUUUUUUUCGUAUAUUUCAAAAUACAAAUAAAAAUAUAUUGAAAAAUCAACAUGAUUGAAGUUUGUUGUCGCAUAAAAAAAAAAUUCCGAAAAAGUGGUAAAAUAUAGGCGUUCACAUGAGAAUAACCCCUUAAGGUAAGGUUUGACCGAUAUUAAUAAGACUCGAACAUUUGGGGAAUUUCAAAGAGUGUAUGCAAUAAAUUGUUUAGCGAAUAGGCAGAUGUUUCCUAGAAAUUAAGUUUGAGGUUUUUUUUCAAUAUUACCGAUUUUAUGUUCCUCGAGAUUGAGAAUAAUUUUCAGACGAAUAAAAAAACCCCAUUCGUGACGGAACAAAGAAUAAUCUCUCAUCUUUGUGAAUGAUCCGGGGCUUUUCACAAUCGGUUAGAUCAUCGAACUGGCUGAUUUAAUCCUAAACGUUCCAGCGUUAUCGAUGAAAUUUAGAGGAACCAUAUCAUCAUAUGAUAAAUAAUAUUGCAUAUUAAAUCACGUGUGGAAACUCGAUCAUAAGAUUAUAUAAUCCUAUAGGGGAUGCUAAUUCCGUGUUAUGUGUUCACUAGGAAAAUUAUUUUCAUUUAUGUUGAGUUCUUUAAAUCUAUGCUCUAGAGUUUUUAGCUCUGUAAAAUGUUUGGAGCCCUCAUCUAGCCACAAAUAUUCCCUGUUGACCCGAGAGAAAUCCUUGAUAUUAAUGUGAGGGAUAUGUCUGGGGUACUUUGGAACCCUAUCUUCGAAGUUACUGAUUAUAUUGCUUCUUUUAUGAUGACGAAUAUGAAUCAGAACUGGAUUGAUCAUUUCAUGCUGAAGCAGACCAACUUUAUUAUAAUAAACGAAAUACUGGCGCUAAUAUUGCUGGACCUCGUUCUACAUUUUGCCAAUUAUUUAAUAGUUUUAUUAUUCGUUUUUAAUUUUAAUUCUAGUAAUUUCGUGCUGAUCUGAGCAUCAAAUUGUCGAUACCGGGACUUCCUGCCCGAUUAUAUAACAUUUUAUGACUAACUUGACGAUAAAAGUUACUGUGAGCUGAUCGAUAUAAAGAUAGGCAUGAUCUCAAGUAAUGUUUUUCGAAAAUCCUCAAACAUUCAGACUGAUGUGCCCCUAAAUUCUAUAUAAUUUCUGAUGGAUAAGUUAACACAGGACGAAUCAAUAAGGGGUAACAGAGAACACAUGUUUUUUGCUUCUGAAUUGUAUUUAACCGAUUUUUUGAGUCUCUAAUUUCAAUUGCAAAUUAUCUCGAAUGUUAUGAAACGCGAAAAAAAGUUAUUUAUAUCACGUUUGUGUGUAUGUACUCGAAAAUUCGC
Diachasmimorpha longicaudata is the source of this 2084-nucleotide long non-coding RNA. RefSeq lists it as uncharacterized. The record is from RefSeq and is a predicted model, not a curated record. NCBI's taxonomy places the organism in Eukaryota, Metazoa, Arthropoda, Insecta, Hymenoptera, Braconidae. The transcript is spliced from 3 exons.